Non-coding RNA from Equus caballus (horse), 4752 nucleotides. NCBI's taxonomy places the organism in Eukaryota, Metazoa, Chordata, Mammalia, Perissodactyla, Equidae. The record is from RefSeq and is a predicted model, not a curated record.
GUAACAUAUACAGACUCAUACACACAUGCCCAGAAACACACAAACUGCUUGUGAUACAUACAUUUGGUGCCAACAUAAACAGGGCCCUGGCCAAAAACUGUGUUGGUUAGCAACUGGCCAAUGAAGUGUUUAAAGUUAGAGGCCAACAGAAAAACCCAAACAGUGGUGUUUUUCCUAAACUUGAAAUCACCAGUCAGUAUUGCUUUUCCUCUGCAGAAUGGUUUUCUAAUAUCUUCACUCAGGAAAGAUCCUGUCUGCAAAGAGGCCCGUGACGGAUUUGCUAUUAGCUCCCUCAGCCCACGGCUGUCAACACCCUGCGAACACAUGGAGAGCAAUUGCUGUUCCCAGGCCAUGUGCAGAAACGGGUCCCCGAGGUUUUUCCUCUCGUAAAUCCAUUUAGUUUGAUAAGAUUGGGCUCAGUUUUGGCUGCACACAGACUAGAGUGUUCUGCAUGGUGAGAGCAAAGGACUGCUUGUGGGCAUUUCCAACUCCUAGUCCCAUAUAAUACAUCUCAGUGUGAAACUGACUGCUGCCAACACAGAGCUGACCAUCUGGAGCAUAAUGCACGGUACAAAGGAGGACAAAAUGUGUGCUUCUCUCUCAACACCUAUGUUUGAAGCUCGAUGUUGUCCUACCUCUGGCUUCUCACCAGUAACAUAGAUCAGGGCUGCCAAGGGAGAUCCACCUAUUUACUUCAAUGAGCCUCAUUGUAAAUGAUGCACCCUAUAUUCGAUGCAGUCUUAGCAAGGUUUGCUGUGGAAAAACCAGCAGAACAUAGAAGUGUAUAGUCAUGCCUCAACUACUGGAAAUGUUUGUGGAUCAUUCUGGAUAAGGAUUCAUCCUUUUUUGAAAUAGUGUGGUUGCUCAGUGAAAUAAAAAAGGCUGUGUUGGGCUCCUACCUCUGAAACACACUGGCUAUGUAGCUUCAGGCAAGUUACUUAAUUUCGCUGAAAAUACUUCCUCACCUAUAAAAUGGGGCUAGUGCUAUUCUACUUUCAGCUGCUAUGAGGAUUAAAAUACACCUGUUCUGGCAAGGAGUAGGCCCUCGACAAAUAAUUGCUUUCCUUUUUGGAAUAUAGGGAAUAUAAUUUGGCUUUAUCUCCAAGAUGCUAGUUUAUGUAAAUGGUACCCAUCAAGUCCUAGACUGUGUCUUAACACAGUGAAGUGCUCAGAGGUUACUGACUUAAGUGGGAUGCAAUUCACCCUUGCACUAAGCACUCCAGCCCACCUGUGUGGACCAGCUUGUGUGGCUCUACCUUGACACUUGGGGGGUUCUCAAGGGCUGCUGAGUCUGUGAUGGAUGGUUCCAGCCUGCUAGGUUGGUGUUUCAUCUCUGCCUCAGGCAUCACUCUUCCUCUCUGUGGGUGUUACUCCAGUUUGUAUCUUGCCUUCUCUACUCCUCUGUCCUCCAGGGAUACUCUCUGUUACCCUCAUAGCCUCUCUUCUUCUUUCUGAUUUUCUGUUUUCUCCUUUUGCCUCCUUUCCUCCAGUUUUCUCAGUGUCAGUCCCAGUGAGACUCAGCUCAUAUCACUGCUAACUAUUCCAGUCAGGGGCCCAGUGGGAAACGGAUGGCACACUCAGAUGCGAAGAACUUUUACAACGUGUGGGCAGAAUGUACCACACAAGGGAUGGUGCUGUACCCUGGGUCUAAAAACAAGGGAGCUGUUACCAACUGUAGGCCCAAAAGGGGAAGGGAGGGAAUGGUUUCUAGAACCUGGAAGGAGAGUGUCAUAGAGAGAGACCCCACUGGAGAGGGGCAUAACCCCAGUUGAGAGAAGCAGGAGGAUAAGUCCGCAAACCUUCUCUCCUCCCUCCCUUCCUUAUCCUGCAAGGAUUUCCCAUUGGACAAACCCAACAAACCCAAAGAGCAAGGCUUCCAGACCACACAGUGGGGUGAAGAGGGUAAGAGUGUUUACAAGGGCGCAGGAACCCAAGAGAACUUGCCUUCUUCUGACCAUGAACCCAGCAGUCACACAUCUUCAAUCUUUUACAGCAGCACUUAAUUCUCCUUUGGGUUUGGCCUCACCAUCAUUCUAGAUAGCUAGAAGUCUUUGGUGUGGGGGAGGGGGUGUGAUAAUUGGGGUGUGGCCGUCAUUUUAUGCGGACUUACAGGUUAAAUUGUGUUUUCAAUCCUCAUUCCAUUUUGCUUCCUUUCUUUAAUUUACUAUGGCCUGCUCUACAUUUUAUGGAGCUAUUUUAAGCAUACACAGGAGAUCUUCUUGCCAUACACAGGGAACAAUCAAUGUUCUCACUUAAUAAUUCAUUCUUUCAUUAAAUGCCCCAAGUAAUUAAAUAAAACAUGAAUAAAUUCCACACUGAUAUUUGCUAAAGUUUUGUUUCCAGAGAAUUUUACCUGUUGGAAGAUAUGCUGGGACCAUUAUUCGUUCUGAUGAGCAAUAAAACAUGGAAACCUUCAAAGUCUAUAGUCACAUAGUACUACUUUCAUUCUCGUAUUCAGUAAGUGCCUAAUAAGCACUACAUAUUUUAUAGACAUCACUUCCAGUAUUGAAGUAGCCCUGUGAAGUUUUAAAGAAACUGAGGCUCAGAGAAGGUCAGUGUCUUGCCCACAGUCAGCUCGGGCAGAACUAGACACCUGAUUCAUCUGGCACCACCUGUUCUUUCUAGUAUUCCCCACCACUCCGUCUUUCUAACAUUUCUAUGGGGAAGUAUGUGAUACAGAAAAAAUAUCCUAAUAACUCACAGAGUUUUCCAAAUUUCAACGCAUGCACACAUGUGUGUGUGAGAGAGAGAGAGGGAAAGAGAGCCAAGUGUGGAUUUCAGAAGCUUGGGAGACCGCCUCUGAGAAAAGUUCUAAAAGAAUGAGAGUGAAGAAGGAGAGAGAACUGGCAAAAAUUAGAAUCUUCUGUUCUUACCUCAUUCCCCUGAGCAUCCUUCCCAAAAGAAGUUCAGCCAGCCUUUUUCCAUGGGCCCGAAUAUUUACCUAAGUUCUCCAGAGAAGCCGACUCGCACGGAAGGCGCUGUGUCCUGGCCCUGCUAUGAGUCUUUGAGAGACACAAAUGCUCCUGAAGGGCUUUCCCAUCAGUGCUGGGGUCACACUCCUUUCUAAUAAUUUGUUCCUUUGAUGACCUCCCUGUUAGCAUGUUCUGAUUGUUUCACGUCAUCACACAAUAAAUAUACUUCUUUGCUUUCACAUUAGUUUUGGAGAAGGUGUGGAUUGAUACUAAGUCUCCUGAAAGUGCUCUGAAUGUUAGGCAGGAAACCCACUUCCAUAUACAUCCCACCACUCCCCCACCCCCAUCCCAAAGAGCUCCCCUUCCUACCUGUCCCUUUUGGAAUAACGGCUCUAUCAGUCCAUUUGUGGGCUCAGCAACCCUUGACUCCUGCCCUCCCCUCACAUCCACAUCAAAGCAGUCAUCAAGUCCUGUUGGAUCUGUGCCGUGAAUCUCUUCCUCCUUCUUUCUUGCAAUGGCUGCUGUAGUUUAAGCCCUUAUCCUCUGUCUUUUGACACGCAAUGAGUACUCCAUGAAGAUUUUUUGAAUGACUGAAUGAAUGAACCAUUUUGAGAAUGAUUCUCCUAAUUAUCUCUCCACUUCCUCUCCAUGUUCCACUGAGCCACUGGUGUUGACUCUGUAAUAUUUAGAUUUGAUCAUUUCACUUCCUUCUUUAAGCUAUCUCCUAAUGUUUGCUGAUAGCCUAAGAGAAUAUUCCAAAUACUUGAACACGACACAACAGAGGCCCCACCCUCCUUUCUAGGUUCUUCCUCCAGCCUACCAGGCACCCUUUAUUCAUUUAUGCCUCCCUACCUUGGCUCCUCUCCACCCACAAUGCUUAUCACCCUACUUCUUACCAUACCUCCUUCAUUAGCAUGAGUCCAUGCUCUUAACCACUACACUGUGAAGAAAAAGAACUCAUUGGCCCAGACUGGCUCUCCAGUUAGCUUUGGCUAGGGGAACAAAGCCGCUUAUUAUACACAUGGCCAGCGAGUAGCACUCAUUUAUGGGGGUGGGCGUAGAAGGGUGAACCAUUAUUAACCAGACAGUCAUGUCAAAUUAUCUAUUUCCUAUAUUGCUGUAGGACCAUAGAGAAGACAGGCUCUAUGUCCACGAGCUAGUGUGGCACACAAGACCCAAGCAUCCCAGAGACCCAUCUGCCAACCAGGAGAGGCUGAGGCAGGGGACUCACUCAUUAUUUUGUAUAGCUAACAUGGUUGUCUUGUCAUUCACAAUAUAAAGAGACAUAAUCCUUUGCUAGUUCUUUCUGGCUCUUGAUAACUCAGCCUUAAAUUAUUAUGCACAUCCCUAAAGGAAGGAGCAAAGUUUUAAAAAGGGAAAUGGUGGACAACAUCAGAGAGAGGAAGGGCACAGAAAUCAGUGCACUUGCAAACUGGCUAUUCUUUUCUUCUCCUUUCUUCACUGGAACCCCACAUUGGGAUGCAUGUGAGAUCAGAGUAGAUUAGAAUAUUUCAAAUGUCCUUGUCUUCAAAAGAGAUGUUAGUGGCACUAUAUUAAUGAAUCGGAUAGAAAUGGAGUUGGUCUGUGCAGGGGGACUGAGAGCACUGCAUGGCCUGCCCAAAUACCCCUCCAUGGUGGCCUGGGAAGCGCCAGGCUGGAGCACAGUUGGAAAGCCCCUGGAAAAGACCAGUCUCAGGCAGGUCUGCCCACCAGAGAGGACUGAAUCUCAACCAGGUCAGGCAAAGGACCAGCCAGGGAGGGCACAGGAGGUCUCAUUACAAGCUCGGGUUGAGUUUUCUAUAUUAGCUUUUCAUCAAAGAAUUUUCACAAAGCUGUUUUU